GAAUUUAAAGAUCACUGGCCUGCUCUGUUUGACAUUCUCCAGAUUAAUAAAGAGUUUAGGAGAAUUACUACUCUGCACCUUGAGCCAACAUUUAUUAAGAUGUUGGAUUACUACACUCCUAAACUUUUCACAAUAUUUUCCUGCAAAGGAGGAGCACUCGGACAGAUUUUGAAGAAGAAAACGGGUGCCAUACAGCAGACCUCACAUCAAAACAUAGAACAGACAAGAGAUGUUGUCCUCCGUUGCUUGGUCUAUUACUUGGGUGAAAAGGAGGAAGACCUCAUCCAGGAGUACAAUGUAAGUGUCUAAAACUAAUUCAGAUAUUUGUUUGCAGAAAACUGCAAUUAGCAUUUGUUUUCCUUUACAAAAACAGAAAUACAUCUUAAACAUAAGUACGUUCCUCAUGCAAAAACAUUCUUGCACUAGUGUCAGUGUCACGCAACGUGCCGAACGGGUGAUCGCUCAGGCAGCGCGAGGGAACAGGCAGGCAGGCGGAAAACAGGGCAAACUGGGGGUUUAUUGGGGAAUGCGGGUCGACAAACACCAGGUAACAUCAAUGACAGACAAAGGACUCAGGUAAGACAUGGACUGAA
Brienomyrus brachyistius is the source of this 593-nucleotide long non-coding RNA. RefSeq lists it as uncharacterized. The transcript is spliced from 3 exons. The record is from RefSeq and is a predicted model, not a curated record. NCBI's taxonomy places the organism in Eukaryota, Metazoa, Chordata, Actinopteri, Osteoglossiformes, Mormyridae.